AUCGAACGCUGGCGGCAGGCCUAACACAUGCAAGUCGAACGAGUGGCGGACGGGUGAGUAAUGUCUGGGAAACUGCCUGAUGGAGGGGGAUAACUACUGGAAACGGUAGCUAAUACCGCAUACCAUCAGAUGGGCCCAGAUGGGAUUAGCGAGUUGGUGGGGUAACGGCUCACCAAGGCGAAGAUCCCUAGCUGGUCUGAGAGGAUGACCAGCCACACUGUGACUGAGACACGGUCCAGACUCCGACGGGAGGCAGCAGGGGGGAAUAUUGCACAAUGGACGAAAGCCUGACUGAGCCAUGCCGCGUGUAUGAAGAAGGCUUUCGGGGUGUAAAGCUCUGUCGUCGGGGAGGCGGUACCCGCAGAAGAAGCAACGGCUAACUCCGUGCCAGCCGCCGCGGUAAUAC
RNAcentral lists this ribosomal RNA (406 nucleotides) under uncultured bacterium. RNAcentral describes it as "partial 16S ribosomal RNA". It matches the Rfam family "Bacterial small subunit ribosomal RNA", at positions 29 to 526 of the family's 1533-position model. The record is from RNAcentral.